Molecule: small RNA, 300 nt
Filed under: Histoplasma capsulatum var. duboisii H88
Lineage: Eukaryota; Fungi; Ascomycota; Eurotiomycetes; Onygenales; Ajellomycetaceae
Description: Histoplasma capsulatum H88 hypothetical RNA
Source: RNAcentral
GCACGCGAAUGGGGAGAGAAACGCGAGAAAGUGGAUAUUUCUGCCAGCCAACCACGGGGCAUGGAAUGACGACUUCGAAUUUACCAGAAAUGAUAUUUUCGAUGAACCUUCAACUUGGAUCUGAUUCAGCGGAUUUCUGUUUCGCGUGCUUCCAGCCGAGGAAUUCUCAUUUGCCCCGAGGAUACGAAAGGGCUGAUUGUUUCCCCGGAUUCCUUUGUCCACCUCCAUUUUUCACAUCUCAAAUCCCCAUCUCGCAGAAAAUUUGCUCUCCGGAAGUUAUCAACAUCAAAAGAACCUUGC